UGGGGAAUAUUGCACAAUGGGCGCAAGCCUGAUGCAGCAACGCCGCGUGAGCGAUGAAGGCCUUCGGGUCGUAAAGCUCUGUCCUGGGGGAAGAAUAAAUGACGGUACCCCGGGAGGAAGCCCCGGCUAACUACGUGCCAGCAGCCGCGGUAAUACGUAGGGGGCAAGCGUUAUCCGGAAUUAUUGGGCGUAAAGAGUGCGUAGGUGGUUUGAUAAGCGCAUAGGUUAAAGGCUACAGCUCAACUGUAGUAAGCCUUGCGAACUGUCAAACUUGAGUGCAGGAGAGGAGAGUGGAAUUCCUAGUGUAGCGGUGAAAUGCGUAGAUAUUAGGAGGAACACCAGUGGCGAAGGCGACUCUCUGGACUGUAACUGACACUGAGGCACGAAAGCGUGGGGAGCA
RNAcentral lists this ribosomal RNA (400 nucleotides) under uncultured bacterium. RNAcentral's name for it is "bacterial SSU rRNA". It matches the Rfam family "Bacterial small subunit ribosomal RNA", at positions 355 to 770 of the family's 1533-position model. The record is from RNAcentral.